This 36-nucleotide transfer RNA is filed under the name Corethron pennatum. Its description in RNAcentral is "partial Selenocysteine transfer RNA". Lineage: Eukaryota; Bacillariophyta; Corethrophyceae; Corethrales; Corethraceae. The record is from RNAcentral.
UACUGGUCGUGGGGCUGGGCUUUAAACCCGAUACGC